GGCGGCAGGCUUAACACAUGCAAGUCGAGCGCCCCGCAAGGGGAGCGGCAGACGGGUGAGUAACGCGUGGCAACGUACCCUUUUCUACGGAAUAACGCAUGGAAACGUGUGCUAAUACCGUAUGUGCCCUUCGGGGGAAAGAUUUAUCGGAAAAGGAUCGGCCCGCGUUGGAUUAGCUAGUUGGUGGGGUAAAGGCCUACCAAGGCGNNNNNNCAUAGCUGGUCUGAGAGGAUGAUCAGCCACAUUGGGACUGAGACACGGCCCAAACUCCUACGGGAGGCAGCAGUGGGGAAUAUUGGACAAUGGGCGCAAGCCUGAUCCAGCCAUGCCGCGUGAGUGAUGAAGGCNNUAGGGUUGUAAAGCUCUUUCACCGGUGAAGAUAAUGACGGUAACCGGAGAAGAAGCCCCGGCUAACUUCGUGCCAGCAGCCGCGGUAAUACGAAGGGGGCUAGCGUUGGUCGGAUUUACUGGGCGUAAAGCGCACGUAGGCGGAUCGAUCAGUCAGGGGUGAAAUCCCAGAGCUCAACUCUGGAACUGCCUUUGAUACUGUCGAUCUGGAGUAUGGAAGAGGUGAGUGGAANUCCGAGUGUAGAGGUGAAAUUCGUAGAUAUUCAGAGGAACACCAGUGGCGAAGGCGGCUCACUGGUCCAUUACUGACGCUGAGGUGCGAAAGCGUGGGGAGCAAACAAGAUUAGAUACCCUGGUAGUCCAC
Molecule: ribosomal RNA, 712 nt
Filed under: bacterium enrichment culture clone SC-1_22
Lineage: Bacteria
Description: bacterial SSU rRNA
Rfam family: Bacterial small subunit ribosomal RNA
Source: RNAcentral